Molecule: transfer RNA, 76 nt
Filed under: Catenulispora acidiphila DSM 44928
Lineage: Bacteria; Bacillati; Actinomycetota; Actinomycetes; Catenulisporales; Catenulisporaceae
Description: tRNA-Arg
Rfam family: tRNA
About the family: Transfer RNA (tRNA) molecules are approximately 80 nucleotides in length. Their secondary structure includes four short double-helical elements and three loops (D, anti-codon, and T loops). Further hydrogen bonds mediate the characteristic L-shaped molecular structure. tRNAs have two regions of fundamental functional importance: the anti-codon, which is responsible for specific mRNA codon recognition, and the 3' end, to which the tRNAs corresponding amino acid is attached (by aminoacyl-tRNA synthetases). tRNAs cope with the degeneracy of the genetic code in two manners: having more than one tRNA (with a specific anti-codon) for a particular amino acid; and 'wobble' base-pairing, i.e. permitting non-standard base-pairing at the 3rd anti-codon position.
Source: RNAcentral
GCCCUCGUAGCUCAGUGGAUAGAGCACCGGACUUCUAAUCCGAUGGUCGCAGGUUCGAAUCCUGCCGGGGGCACCG